This is a non-coding RNA of Triticum aestivum (bread wheat), 124 nucleotides long. The record is from Rfam. NCBI's taxonomy places the organism in Eukaryota, Viridiplantae, Streptophyta, Magnoliopsida, Poales, Poaceae.
CAAGUACUCCCUCCGUACGAAAAUACUUGUCUUAGAAAUGGAUAAAAUGGAAGAAUCUAUAACUAAAAUAAGUCUAGAUACAACCAUUUCUAGGACAAGUAUUUCCGAACGGAGGGAGUACAUG